AUUGAACGCUGGCGGCGUGCCUAACACAUGCAAGUCGAGCGGUAACGCGGGAGCAAUCCUGGCGACGAGCGGCGGACGGGUGAGCAAUAUUUGGGAAUCUGCCCAGUAGUGGGGGACAACCCGGGGAAACUCGGGCUAAUACCGCAUACGCCCUAUGGGGGAAAGCGGGGGUCGCAAGACCUCGCGCUAUUGGAUGAGCCCAAAUCGGAUUAGCUAGUUGGUGAGGUAAAGGCUCACCAAGGCGACGAUCCGUAGCUGGUCUGAGAGGAC
This 270-nucleotide ribosomal RNA is filed under the name uncultured bacterium. RNAcentral's name for it is "partial 16S ribosomal RNA". It matches the Rfam family "Bacterial small subunit ribosomal RNA", at positions 30 to 301 of the family's 1533-position model. The record is from RNAcentral.